This is a non-coding RNA of Peromyscus maniculatus bairdii (prairie deer mouse), 540 nucleotides long. The record is from RefSeq and is a predicted model, not a curated record. Lineage: Eukaryota; Metazoa; Chordata; Mammalia; Rodentia; Cricetidae.
UCAGCAGGACUUGGUACCAAGAAUGGAAGUGGGAGAGACCCGGAAAAAAAAAAACAUGGAAAAAUCAGCUGUUGGGGAGGAGAAGCAAGGAAUUCAAGAGGCUGUCUUCUCUCUGGAAGGACUGGGAAUCCAGGAGAUCAAUCCUAACCUACCCCCCGCCAAACUUUGUGUUUACUUCUGGGGAUGCAUCCCCAAAAAGGUAACAGUUCCAGAGCUCAUGAUCUGGUAGAAGACAUAGACAACCAAGUUUGUCAUUGCACACAGAAGGGUGCCAUGGAAGACUCUGAGGACUCAUACAGGGGCUUCAGGGCCAGAGUGUGACUGACAUACAUCAAGCAUUCAAUCUGUAUCGGUGAAGAACCCCCUAAGCAACCAGGAGAUGUUCUCAUACAGACAGUCAGGAUUCCAUAGAAAAGAGAUUUUGAGUGCAAACAGAGACGCCUUGGCACCUCAACACGACGCAUUAGAAGGAAAUGCUCCCAGGGCAUGGCGAGUCUCGCUCCUUGGAAGUUUGUAGCCUUCCUGACAUUUGCAUAUGUA